UAGGGAAUAUUGGUAAUGUGCGCAAGCGCGAACCAGCAACGCCGCGUGUGCGGUGAAGGCCUUCGGGUUGUAAAGCACUUUUUGAGGGGAUGAGGAAGGACAGUACCCUCAGAAUAAGCCUCGGCUAACUACGUGCCAGCAGCCGCGGUAAAACGUAGGAGGCGAGCGUUAUCCGGAUUUACUGGGCGUAAAGCGUGUGUAGGCGGUUUGAUAAGUUGGAUGUGAAAGCUCCUGGCUUAACUGGGAGAGGUCGUUCAAAACUAUCAGACUUGAGAGUGGUAGAGGGAGGUGGAAUUCCGGGUGUAGUGGUGAAAUGCGUAGAUAUCCGGAGGAACACCAGUGGCGAAAGCGGCCUCCUGGCCCAUUUCUGACGCUCAGACACGAAAGCUAAGGUAGCAAACGG
Molecule: ribosomal RNA, 403 nt
Filed under: uncultured bacterium
Lineage: Bacteria
Description: bacterial SSU rRNA
Rfam family: Bacterial small subunit ribosomal RNA
Source: RNAcentral